This is a long non-coding RNA of Calidris pugnax (ruff), 2366 nucleotides long. RefSeq lists it as uncharacterized. The record is from RefSeq and is a predicted model, not a curated record. Lineage: Eukaryota; Metazoa; Chordata; Aves; Charadriiformes; Scolopacidae. The transcript has 2 exons.
AACGAUCCGUUGUCACCUUCCGCGGCUCCAGCGGAAACACCCCCAGACCCGCCGCGCCCCGCGAGGAUUCGCAUCCCGCCGGGGCCUGUUUCUGCUUCGUCCGCCCCGCCCCCCCCAGUGCCUCCCUCCGCCAGCGGCCCGGGCACCCCGCGUCUCACCCCCCCAGCCCUCGCCUCAAACCGGCUCCUGCUCGGACAGAAAGCGCUCCGCGCCCCCAGCCCGGCCGGUCACACACCGCCCCCAGCCGGUUUCCUCCAACGGAACGGACAGAAACCACAAAAUGACCAUCUUUGUCCAGCCGCUUGUUUUUCUGCAGGGCACCGGCAGGAGACGGUAGGCGGGAAGGCAGCAGGGUGCGGGACCGACCGAUUGGAACUCCUCAGCCCGGGAGCAGCGCGGAGCAAACCCCUGCCCCGUGUGUGACACUGGUGUCACUUAUUGUCGCUGUAGACCUUUGCCUACCUCAGGCACUCGGGGUAGCAUGCAGAACACAGCCCCAGCAAUCUCGGGAUCUUCACCGCAGGUAACGAUUGAGUCUCCUCAGCAAAACUUCAGGGCCUGACGUUGGACUUAAUUACAUCGAUCUAACUGCACGUUAACUCUACUGGGUGAUUUUAGAAGAAUCCUACCUGCAUUUCGAUUGAAGUCCCAAGCAAGUGCAAUGUUUCCACUCAUCAGGUAGAUAUGAUGACCAGGAAACAUGUUCUCUCUAAGAGUCUCUAAGCUUAUGGCAAUGAAUUAAGAUCAGCUGCGCGCUCUGCAUUUGGACAGAAUAAGCAAAACUGAUGCAACUGAAAUUCCUGAGGGUAACACAGCAACCCGAAUAUCCCAGAUAAAUCUCUCUCCAGUUGUACAGCUCUUGGUCUUGGGCCAAAGCCUUUGCUAUACACUACGCAGGUUGCAUUAUCUCCAUGCUAUUUUGGGUAGGCUCUCUUUAGGGAAAACCUCUGUUGCAAUCCCACAGUUUUAUCCUACUCCUCACAGGAUGAAGUCUUCUCUGGGGUAUUUCACUAAAUUCUAAAGCAGGAUCCGAUUUCUGAAAAUUUCCAGCAGCAGCAGCCUCCCGUAGAAUGCUUCAAAGAUAGAGAUAUUUCAGUCUCGUUUGUAAAUAUUGAUGUAUCUUCCUUCCACUCCAGUGACAGGGCCCUGGGCCAGGCUGCAGCUUGCUCCUGUGGUUCAGGACGAAAGCCAGUAACAGAAUUACUGCUACCUACUUGAGAAGCAAUACUUCUGUUCCGUCUGUGAGACAAGUGCCAAAUGAAGCAGAUAAGUGAUUACAGCAGAAAGAACAUUUCCCUCUGGCAGUCUGACUCCUUAAUGCCAAAGUAACAAUGCUGGUGCUAAGGUUUAAUGUGACGGUUGAGCUAAUCCCUGCUGCCUCCAGCUGACCGUUCGCCACCUUGUUGGGCUAUUUCAGCCUACUGAAGCAGCAGGGAAGUGCUCACCUUUCCAGGAGAGCGGGACUGGGAAGCGGCAGUUUGGUGCAAUGGAUCCCAAGCGCGUUUCCUCGCACACCUACACUAGUGUUACAGUUCGCACCUACUGAGAAGAGCAGCCCCAUUCACCUCCCUUCCAGAUGUGCCUUCCUGUCUCCUUGGUACAGCAUUCCUGCUUUUGGAGGGUGAACAUUCUGCAAGUUAGCAUUCUGAACCGGGUCACUGCUGGACCAGGCAAGAACCACUGCUGGCAUCGGUACAGUGGAAGGAACUCCCAGCCUGGAAGAAGAAGGAGGACAAGAUCAGGAUGGCUCCCUUUUUGCCCAAACUGCCAUUAGCUCAGCCUUAGCUGCCAAAUAAAGCCACGCUCUGACCCCAAAGGCACUUAAAAACUAGGUUCAUUAGCCCUUUUUCUUCACAGGAAAUACUGAAGUUUGUGGGGCAAACUCAGGUCUGCAGGGCCCAAGACAAUCCUGCCCUUGACAGAGCUGCACGUGACCAUUGAUUGAACUGUGUUAAACAGAGUCUUACACAGAUGCAUUUCAUGUUCUCCCCUUAAGGUAUUCAGUCUUCAUCCUCACAUUCUAUCCAGCUCUACUUCUGGGUAGGAAGCAGGGCAUUCAUACCUCUUUAGCCUAUCACCCUGGCUCCCUCGUGCUUCUCCCCAGUUUCUUUUUGUCCUCAAGUUUCUGACCAAAAAAGAACCCCCCACUUGGCUGGGUGUUCUUUGGAGAGAGACCUGUCACUUCCUGACCCACGACAUGCAGAUGCUCCGCUGCUCCAGCUGAGUCACGCUGAGCAAAAUGACGGCCAGUACCUGACAGCGUGGGUGCAGGCCUGUGAGCUGGGUAAGGUCUGUGCUAGUUAAUGCUUGCUUGGGAAAGACUUACUAAAGAACAACCACAAUAAAUGAUGCUUUAUGUGCUACUA